GACCAUUUUCCUUCUUCAUUUCUUCCUGGCAUUUCAUUUUGGACAGAUGAGGAACAAAGGUAUGUGGCUAGGCGGACAGGAGACAGAGAGAAAAAAGCAUGUCGAUGGAAGGAAGAGGGAUGAAGAAGAAAAGGAUAUAAGAAUGGGCAUAUGGUACCAAAAAAGGCUUCUUGUAUAUGUCACAAAAAUCUAAAGGAAAUAAGAUAUUCUAAAAUAAAGUCAUGAGGAGGAAGAGCAUUCCAGGCAUGGGAAAUAGCCAAUUCAAAAACCUAGAGAAAAGAGAUUGGAUGUCUCGUGUAAGAAACAGCAAGAAGGACUAUUUGGCUGGACCAUCAAAUAAGGUUGUAAAGCCCCAACAGGAGGCAAUAAGGGAGCAAGCAGAAAGAAGAAACUAUGGAAAAAGCUGUGUGUGCUAUAGACUAUAUAAGGACAUCCUUUCUCGUUUCUUUUGGGCUGAGCCAUCUAGAUAAUCAGUCUCCCAAUCCUGAGUUGGAAGAGAUCUCAGAAGCUGUUCAUCUGAAUAACAAUCUUUUCUACAAUACAACCAAGAAAUGAUUUCCAGCCUUUGCUUGAAAUGAGCAGGAACUCACUGCCUUCCAAGACAUGACAUCUCAAGACUGAUGAUACGGAUCUCUAACUUCUAUGGAUUAUAUUACAAGACAAUGAAAAGAAUACUGGCCCUCAGGUCAGUUUCAAAUUCCACCUCUAUGAUUUAAGGAAAAUGAUAUAAUCUACCUGGGAUGUACUUGCCU
This 752-nucleotide long non-coding RNA is filed under the name Monodelphis domestica (gray short-tailed opossum). Its description in RNAcentral is "lncRNA (ENSMODG00000033799.2)". Lineage: Eukaryota; Metazoa; Chordata; Mammalia; Didelphimorphia; Didelphidae. The record is from RNAcentral.